RNAcentral lists this ribosomal RNA (207 nucleotides) under uncultured Tepidimonas sp. RNAcentral's name for it is "partial 16S ribosomal RNA". It matches the Rfam family "Bacterial small subunit ribosomal RNA", at positions 568 to 774 of the family's 1533-position model. The record is from RNAcentral. Lineage: Bacteria; Pseudomonadati; Pseudomonadota; Betaproteobacteria; Burkholderiales.
UGCGCAGGCGGUCUUGUAAGACAGAGGUGAAAUCCCUGGGCUCAACCUAGGAAUGGCCUUUGUGACUGCAAGGCUGGAGUGCGGCAGAGGGGGAUGGAAUUCCGCGUGUAGCAGUGAAAUGCGUAGAUAUGCGGAGGAACACCGAUGGCGAAGGCAGUCCCCUGGGCCUGCACUGACGCUCAUGCACGAAAGCGUGGGGAGCAAACA